This 136-nucleotide ribosomal RNA is filed under the name uncultured eukaryote. RNAcentral's name for it is "partial 18S ribosomal RNA". It matches the Rfam family "Eukaryotic small subunit ribosomal RNA", at positions 1299 to 1458 of the family's 1831-position model. The record is from RNAcentral.
UGGUGGAGCGAUUUGUCUGGUUUAUUCCGAUAACGAACGAGACUCUGACCUACUAAAUAGUGGGCGGAUUCUGCCUGUCCGCAACACUUCUUAGAGGGACAAGCGGUGUUCAGCCGCACGAGAUUGAGCAAUAACA